GCGUAAUUGGUUUAGUGGUAAAAUUCUCCGUUGCCAUUCGAGUAACGUCGGGGAGCCCAGGGUUCGAUUCCCUGAUUACGCA
Molecule: transfer RNA, 82 nt
Organism: Fusarium oxysporum f. sp. raphani 54005
Lineage: Eukaryota; Fungi; Ascomycota; Sordariomycetes; Hypocreales; Nectriaceae
Rfam family: tRNA
About the family: Transfer RNA (tRNA) molecules are approximately 80 nucleotides in length. Their secondary structure includes four short double-helical elements and three loops (D, anti-codon, and T loops).
Source: Rfam